UACAGGGGGUGCAAACGUUGCUCGGAAUUAUUGGGCGUAAAGCGCGCGUAGGCGGCUACUUAAGUCGGAUGUGAAAGCCCCUGGCUCAACUGGGGAAGUGCACCCGAAACUGAGUGGCUUGAGUACGAAAGAGGGUCGCGGAAUUCCCGGUGUAGAGGUGAAAUUCGUAGAUAUCGGGAGGAACACCGGUGGCGAAGGCGGCGACCUGGGUCGACACUGACGCUGAGGCGCGAAAGCGUGGGGAGCAAACAGG
RNAcentral lists this ribosomal RNA (253 nucleotides) under uncultured bacterium. RNAcentral's name for it is "partial 16S ribosomal RNA". It matches the Rfam family "Bacterial small subunit ribosomal RNA", at positions 524 to 776 of the family's 1533-position model. The record is from RNAcentral.